This is a long non-coding RNA of Drosophila gunungcola (fruit fly), 1641 nucleotides long. RefSeq lists it as uncharacterized. The transcript has 3 exons. Lineage: Eukaryota; Metazoa; Arthropoda; Insecta; Diptera; Drosophilidae. The record is from RefSeq and is a predicted model, not a curated record.
UAUACAUAUCUUUAUUGCAGAGUUAAAACAAACAUUUGAAGAAAUUCCAGCUGAAAGUUAGAAACACGAUGUAUAUACUUUUAUUGGUAGUGGUUGCCAUGAAGAGAUUCCACCGUACAGUGCGUUCCGCCAUUCGUAGGCGUCACAUUUGGUUGCAAGUCAUCGAGUGGGAGCGUUUUCUCCACUCUCCCGUGCUUUUUCUUCGUUUCUUGGUCUAUUAGGCGUCUCGGCGGCGAAUGUCAUCUGAUUUCCUUAAACCCUUAAUUAACAUAAACGUUUGAAAUAUAAUCGAGGUAUUAAUAAUAUAGGUACAGCGUUCAAAUUGGGUAAGCACACCAUUGUAAUGCAACUAUGUUAUGCAAUUAUUAAGUUUUCUUUAUUUGAAAAAAAAACGAUCUUAAACUGCAUUUCUAGAAGCUAUAAUUUUGUCAACUUAAACUUGAUUGUAAAGUGGCUUACCCUAAAAGUUUUGUGGUCUCAAUUCUAUAUAUUUUUCUUUAACUUUUAGUAAUGCUAUUAACUUUUUUUUUAGCUAAUUCGUUGGCUUGGAGAAAUUGAUUUAUUUAAAUUUUUGUUCUGUUUUUUUCUUUUACUUACUUUGAUGUAAGUCUUUUUCUAUUUUUCCAACGUCUGGCAGUAAGAUGACCCAACCGGUUUGCCAUGUGAUACGUUUGUUUCCUUAAUAAAUAAAAAAAAUAAAACAAUUAAGUUAAAUUAAAACCAUGCUCGCCCAAAUAAGGAGCUGACUGCUUGUUUAACGAUGAUGAUCUUAAGCCCAAUAGAGCGGCAAAAACGGGGUCGAAUUGCAUUGUUGAUUACGACUGAUUUAUUGGAUGGACCGAAAGCGUUUACACAUUUGUUAACUUUGAUGGGCAGCCAAACAAAUCGCUCUAUGCAAAUGAUGAGCGUCGGGCGGAAACGGAAAACGAAUUGCGGGCCGAAAUGAGAAAUGCCACAGAUGGAAUGGGAAUGGAUCUGGAUCUGGACCUGGAUGGCACCGAAUCACAUCAGACAUGGCCAGCAAGCAAGUCAGCCAAGUUUGUGGCUCGUGGCUGCAUUUAAAGGUAUUUUUGUUUGCAUAAAUAAACGGACGACGGAGAACCGGCAAACGUCAAAACUUUUAAAAUUUCAAUUUCCGGUGCAACGGCGGCCCAAACGAAGAUGGUGAUGAUGACCAAAAAAAAGAAAGGAAAGAAAACGCGAACGCGAAUGCGAACGAGCCCGAUUUCAUUCAUAAAAGGGAUCACAAUCGGACCUCGGAUUCUGGUCCUCCAUGCGGACAAAGGAUCGCGGCCGGGGAAAUUAAUUUUAUUUUGAUAUUUGCCCAACAAAUUCGCUGGCGAAAUUAUCACAACAAGUUAUUUCUCAGUCGCGGCAAACAAAAAGCGUCAAAUUUAUCAAAAGCGACAGGCGUGAGGAAGAAAGACGGAAUCGGAGUCUGGAUCGGAUAGGUUUCUAUAUAUAUAUAUACCCUUUAUGCAUAUGUCAGUUGCGAUAUAGCCCUGCCUGCCUGUAUUUGCAUUCAUUCAAAAUUAAUCAGAAAAGUACGAUUCUCAGGUCCAGUUUCACGCCUUUAUUCUGGAUCUCGAAUUCCUGCUGUGUGCCCUGAAAACCUCAUGAGGAUGUGUUGAUGUACCCAAA